This 1848-nucleotide long non-coding RNA is filed under the name Gallus gallus (chicken). RNAcentral's name for it is "long non-coding RNA NONGGAT008980". The record is from RNAcentral. Lineage: Eukaryota; Metazoa; Chordata; Aves; Galliformes; Phasianidae.
GAGCUGCGCCUGCCCUUGCUGGCACCCAGCGAGCUGGCAACGCUGGAGAGCCAAAACCAGCGCGACCUGCUCAUCCCAGUGAGUUGUGGGGUGCCCCGUUGCUUCUUGGGGAUGCCACGGGGCUGGUUUGGGGUACGCGCACUGACAUCCCCGUCUGGGCAGGUGGAUAGCAUUGCGGCAGCCUGGCGGUCCCACGCGCUGCGGCAUGGAAGCGGGGUGCCCUCCCACCUCUGUCGGCCCCGGCACGGCACACGGCCCCGCAACCACCACCGCCACUUGGACCCACACAGCAAAUUCGGAGCAGGAUAGGAGGAUCGUCCUGGUGCGGGGCUCGGGCAGCCCAAGGAUGGGGUGGGGGCACAGGAUGAGCCCCCAUUGAACCUUAUCCCAGCCGCAUCCUAUCCUUCCCUGGGGCAGUGCUGCCCUCCGCUGGCAGCAGGGCUGUGCUACAGGAGCGCACCAGGGCCCCCGCAUGGCGGAGAUGGAGAAGGGGCUCAGCAGGGCAUGAGGCAGCGCCCGGCCCCACGUCCAGCACUGCCUGGGCUGCGAAAUCCCCACCACCACCACCGCCCCGCUUUGCACAGCCCAUUGCGCACACAGCUGUGUACAUCUCAUCCCACCCCCCCGAGCUGUGCCCCCCAGGAGGCAGGGUCAGACGCAGCGCAUAAUUUAUAUAUAAUAUAUAUAUUUACUCUUUAAAAAUAAACCUUCAGUCCCCACUACCGCCUGUACAAACUACAAAAAUAAACCUUUGCUCUCUUUGAUAUAAAUAACUUAGAUGGCGUGGUUGGGGGGGGGGGGGCUGCCCACCGUGCCCACGCCUGGCACGGGGACGAGGACCCCAGGGCCACCCCAGCACAGCGGCAGUGUCAGGGGGCCAGGGCAGUGGGCACAGCAACACCGCUGGAGUUAAAGUGCUGGGUAACGGCGCGGACGGUGCCCGGGAUGGGGAUGGGGGUUGGCAGGGGGAGACGGCCCCAUUGCAUGGGCACGGGGCAAGAAAGUUGCUUUCCCAGCUGGAUGAGGCCGGUGGCAGUGUGGGUGCCCUACACCGGGCAGAGCUGUGAUGGUGGGACAUCGCAGGGGCUUGGCACAGCGAGGAGCACCCCAAGGACCCCUCCCCCCCCCCCCCCAAAUCCAGCAAUAGGCUCCCCGGCACGGCCCCCAGCUCUGUCCCUCCUGUGCUCACUGGUAGGGAAACUGAGGCACAGAGAGGGUGGGGGGAGAUGGGGCUGCCCCUCGCUACCCCACCCCAGGCAGCCUGACAAGGCCCUCGGCUGAGAAAUAAAUCUUUUAAAAUAAGCUUAAAAAUAUAUAUCUCUCUAUAGAUAGUUUCCCUUUGCAAAUAAAUAAAGGUGGGGGAUGCCUAUCCUGGGCCUUGCCCACGGCUCCGGGGCACCUGCCAUAUCGGGCAGGGGGGCACCAGGGGUAAGGCAGCCCAGCAGGUGGCCGGGGGGGGGAUCCCAGGAGGAGGUGAUGGGGAGCAGGCAGUGGCCCCCUGGAGGGAGGUGGCAGGGCAGAGGGCCGGGCGCUGCGCCCCCUGUGCCAGCAGCUCCAGAAACAGAGGGGGAGUUAGUGCUUCCAUUUCUGGGGAGCACAGGCGCAGGGUGACCCCAAGGCACGUGGGGAGACACGGCCCUGUUGGCACAGCGUGGCCUGCACACAGCUUGCAUAGGAAUGCCAGCCUGCCCUGCCAAGCCUGGGUGUGGGGCUACGGGGGGGCCGAUCCUCUUCGGCUGAGACCGGAGCAUCGCCACUGGGGCGAUUAGCAGCACAACACGGGCGAGCCCGCUCUGCACCCUCUGUGCCACGCUGGGAGCUGCCAGCCUGGGUGCCAUCCAUGGAGCU